GUUGCAUAUAGAUUAAAUCUACUUUAUUCAUGUUAGAUAGAUUAAAUUAUUUAAUCUAGAUCAUUUUUUUUUAUAUCACUGUAUUUAAAUUUUAAAAAUUAAAAAUCUGCAUGCUCUGAUUUCUGCAUGCAUGAUCUCAGAUAUACGAUAUUCUUUACAUACGUCUUCCAUACGUCUUGUUAUUAGACUUAUCAAACAAGCUUUCUAGCAUGCAUUUAUCUGAUUAAUAAGCAAAUUAUGCAGAACAUGG
Molecule: long non-coding RNA, 250 nt
Filed under: Elaeis guineensis (African oil palm)
Lineage: Eukaryota; Viridiplantae; Streptophyta; Magnoliopsida; Arecales; Arecaceae
Description: long non-coding RNA (EGUI_LNC070827)
Source: RNAcentral